Molecule: ribosomal RNA, 452 nt
Filed under: uncultured Leptolinea sp.
Lineage: Bacteria; Bacillati; Chloroflexota; Anaerolineae; Anaerolineales; Anaerolineaceae
Description: bacterial SSU rRNA
Rfam family: Bacterial small subunit ribosomal RNA
Source: RNAcentral
GGGCCCGCGACAAGCAGCGGAGCGUGUGGUUUAAUUCGAUGCUACACGAAGAACCUUACCAGGGUUUGACAUGCAAGUGGUAGGAAACCGAAAGGUGACCGACCCUUCGGGAGCUUGCACAGGUGCUGCAUGGCUGUCGUCAGCUCGUGUCGUGAGAUGUUCGGUUAAGUCCGCUAACGAGCGCAACCCUCGCUGUGUGUUAUAUGUGUCACACGGGACUGCCGGUCUUAAGCCGGAGGAAGGUGGGGAUGAUGUCAAGUCAGCAUGGCCUUUAUAUCCUGGGCUACACACACGCUACAAUGGCCAGCACAGUAGGUUGCUAAGCCGCGAGGUGGAGCCAAUCCAUAAAGCUGGUCUCAGUUCAGAUUGCAGGCUGCAACCCGCCUGCAUGAAGAUGGAGUUGCUAGUAACCGCAGGUCAGCUAUACUGCGGUGAAUACGUUCCCGGGGCUU